RNAcentral lists this ribosomal RNA (468 nucleotides) under uncultured bacterium. Its description in RNAcentral is "partial 16S ribosomal RNA". It matches the Rfam family "Bacterial small subunit ribosomal RNA", at positions 28 to 507 of the family's 1533-position model. The record is from RNAcentral.
GACGAACGCUGGCGGCGUGCUUAACACAUGCCAGUCGAACGGAAAGGCCCUGCUUUUGUGGGGUGCUCGAGUGGCGAACGGGUGAGUAACACGUGAGUAACCUGCCCUUGACUUUGGGAUAACUUCAGGAAACUGGGGCUAAUACCGGAUAGGAGCUCCUGCUGCAUGGUGGGGGUUGGAAAGUUUCGGCGGUUGGGGUUGGACUCGCGGCUUAUCAGCUUGUUGGGUGGGUAGUGGCUUACCAAGGCUUUGACGGGUGGCCGGCCUGAGAGGGUGACCGGCCACAUUGGGACUGAGCUACGGCACAGACUCCUCCGGGAGGCAACGGUGGGGAAUAGUGCACAAUGGGCGGGAGCCUGAUGCAGUAACGCCGCGUGCGGGAUGACGUCCUUCGGUUUGUAAACCGCUUUCGCCUGUGACGAAACGUGAGUGACGGUAAUGGGUAAAGAAGCACCGGCUAACUACGUG